This is a long non-coding RNA of Ochotona princeps (American pika), 845 nucleotides long. RefSeq lists it as uncharacterized. The transcript has 5 exons. The record is from RefSeq and is a predicted model, not a curated record. Lineage: Eukaryota; Metazoa; Chordata; Mammalia; Lagomorpha; Ochotonidae.
AACACUGCGGCUCGGACAGGACCGCCUUUAUCAGCACAGUGGAGGGCCUGAGCUGCAUGGAAACAGUGUGGGGGCUCUCGGGGUCACAGCAGUGCUGGUUUGGCCUUCCCCUGACCGGUCCAGGGCGGCCUCCACACCAACCACACGCGGCCGGGCCUCACCGCCGCUGACUACAACCCUGGGCCCGGAGCGCUGAGGCGCGGGGUAGCCCGUCCCGAGUGCGCGUGCGCGGAGGACGCUCCAGUGUGAUUGGGCAGCUGACAUCCACGGUAGCCAAUCGGGGAGGAGCAGUCGAAAAGGACACCCCUGGAAGUGUACUCCCUCUGGGACUGCCCAAGAACACUGCUAAUCCCAACAUGGGACUUGAACCUUUCCUGGAGCCACAGGACUUUUCUGGUCUCUUCAGACAAGCCUACCACAUUUUGCAGUUCUUCAAUCAAAGAGAGGAAAAUGCAGGAAAGAAGCUGCUGCCCUGAAUCAUUUUGAUUACCCUAGGCAAGAGCCAAAGUAAUGGAAGCGCAGGCUGACACAAAGGGAAGGAGGUGACAUGAGAACAAUCUCCCCAUAACAACUAUCUCCCACAACUGCGUGAUCCAUAAUGGCAGUAAUAGAGAAAGCAAGCCGUGGUAAAGGUGCAUUGCCUCGUCUCUGUGAGAUCAAACAAUGCGUAGGUUGAUGGAGGAGACGCUUUCAUAUCUCCUGAAAAGUCCAUAUUUCUCAAUAUUGCUGAACUACCAAGACUCUUCCUAAGGUGCAAAAAUUUCUCUGUGGAGGAUCUUCAUAAAGAGAAUUGAUGGCAAUAUAAAUACAGUUUUCUUAAAUCAUCAACUAUCUUUAAUUAAAAG